GGUCCAGACUUUGAUUAUGGCUCAGGAUGAACGCUAGCUACAGGCUUAACACAUGCAAGUCGAGGGGAAACGAUAGAGAAAGCUUGCUUUUUCUAGGCGUCGACCGGCGCACGGGUGAGUAACGCGUAUCCAACCUGCCCAUCACUUGGGGAUAACCUUGCGAAAGUAAGACUAAUACCCAAUGACGUCCAUAGAAGACAUCUGAAGUGGAUUAAAGAUUUAUCGGUGAUGGAUGGGGAUGCGUCUGAUUAGCUUGUUGGCGGGGUAACGGCCCACCAAGGCGACGAUCAGUAGGGGUUCUGAGAGGAAGGUCCCCCACAUUGGAACUGAGACACGGUCCAAACUCCUACGGGAGGCAGCAGUGAGGAAUAUUGGUCAAUGGGCGAGAGCCUGAACCAGCCAAGUAGCGUGCAGGAUGACGGCCCUAUGGGUUGUAAACUGCUUUUAUAAGGGAAUAAAGUGAGUCUCGUGAGACUUUUUGCAUGUACCUUAUGAAUGAGGACCGGCUAAUUCCGUGCCAGCAGCCGCGGUAAUACGGAAGGUCCGGGCGUUAUCCGGAUUUAUUGGGUUUAAAGGGAGCGUAGGCCGGAGAUUAAGCGUGUUGUGAAAUGUAGACGCUCAACGUCUGCACUGCAGCGCGAACUGGUUUCCUUGAGUACGCACAAAGUGGGCGGAAUUCGUGGUGUAGCGGUGAAAUGCUUAGAUAUCACGAAGAACUCCGAUUGCGAAGGCAGCUCACUGGAGCGCAACUGACGCUGAAGCUCGAAAGUGCGGGUAUCGAACAGGAUUAGAUACCCUGGUAGUCCGCACGGUAAACGAUGGAUGCCCGCUGUUGGUCUGAAUAGGUCAGCGGCCAAGCGAAAGCAUUAAGCAUCCCACCUGGGGAGUACGCCGGCAACGGUGCAACUCAAAGG
Molecule: ribosomal RNA, 914 nt
Filed under: uncultured Bacteroidota bacterium
Lineage: Bacteria; Pseudomonadati; Bacteroidota
Description: bacterial SSU rRNA
Rfam family: Bacterial small subunit ribosomal RNA
Source: RNAcentral